GCUGGGUGUGGUGGCCCAUGCCUGUAAUCCCAGCUACUCGGGAGGCUGAGGCAGGAGAAUUGCUUGAACCCGGGAGGCCGAGGUUGCAGUGAGCUGAGAUCGCACCACUGCACUCCAGCCUGGAUGACAAAGCGAGACUCCGUCUCAA
Molecule: non-coding RNA, 148 nt
Filed under: Homo sapiens (human)
Lineage: Eukaryota; Metazoa; Chordata; Mammalia; Primates; Hominidae
Source: Rfam by way of RNAcentral